UGGGGAAUAUUGCACAAUGGGCGCAAGCCUGAUGCAGCCAUGCCGCGUGUAUGAAGAAGGCCUUCGGGUUGUAAAGUACUUUCAGCGAGGAGGAAGGCGGUAAGGUUAAUAACCUUAUCGAUUGACGUUACUCGCAGAAGAAGCACCGGCUAACUCCGUGCCAGCAGCCGCGGUAAUACGGAGGGUGCAAGCGUUAAUCGGAAUUACUGGGCGUAAAGCGCACACAGGCGGUCUGUCAAGUCGGAUGUGAAAUCCCCGGGCUCAACCUGGGAACUGCAUUCGAAACUGGCAGGCUAGAGUCUUGUAGAGGGGGGUAGAAUUCCAGGUGUAGCGGUGAAAUGCGUAGAGAUCUGGAGGAAUACCGGUGGCGAAGGCGGCCCCCUGGACAAAGACUGACGCUCAGGUGCGAAAGCGUGGGGAGCAAACA
RNAcentral lists this ribosomal RNA (427 nucleotides) under uncultured bacterium. RNAcentral describes it as "partial 16S ribosomal RNA". It matches the Rfam family "Bacterial small subunit ribosomal RNA", at positions 355 to 774 of the family's 1533-position model. The record is from RNAcentral.